Molecule: ribosomal RNA, 521 nt
Filed under: uncultured bacterium
Lineage: Bacteria
Description: bacterial SSU rRNA
Rfam family: Bacterial small subunit ribosomal RNA
Source: RNAcentral
UUAGGACGAACGCUGGCGGCGUGCCUAAUACAUGCAAGUCGAACGGUCUUUCUAUGGAAGCUGCUUCCACUGAGAAGAUAGUGGCGAACGGGUGAGUAACACGUGGGUAACCUGCCCAUAAGAGGGGGGAUAACAUCCGGAAACGGGUGCUAAUACCGCAUAGUUUUCUUGGUCGCAUGAUCGGGAAAGGAAAGACGGCCUUUGUGCUGUCGCUUAUGGAUGGACCCGCGGCGUAUUAGUUAGUUGGUGAGGUAACGGCUCACCAAGACGAUGAUACGUAGCCGACCUGAGAGGGUGAUCGGCCACAUUGGGACUGAGACACGGCCCAAACUCCUACGGGAGGCAGCAGUAGGGAAUCUUCCGCAAUGGACGAAAGUCUGACGGAGCAACGCCGCGUGAGUGAAGAAAGGUUUUCGGAUCGUAAAACUCUGUUGUCAGAGAAGAACAAGUUGGAGAGUAACUGCUCCAGCCUUGACGGUAUCUGACCAGAAAGCCACGGCUAACUACGUGCCAGCCGCUGC